CCUACGGGAGGCAGCAGUGAGGAAUAUUGGUCAAUGGACGAGAGUCUGAACCAGCCAAGUAGCGUGAAGGAUGACUGCCCUAUGGGUUGUAAACCUCUUUUAUAUGGGAAUAAAACAGUGUAUGCAUACACUUUUGUAUGUACCAUAUGAAUAAGGAUCGGCUAACUCCGUGCCAGCAGCCGCGGUAAUACGGAGGAUCCGAGCGUUAUCCGGAUUUAUUGGGUUUAAAGGGAGCGUAGGGGGGUUGUUAAGUCAGUUGUGAAAGUUUGUGGCUCAACCAUAAAAUUGCAGUGGAAACUGGCAUUCUUGAGUACGGGAGAGGUGGGCGGAAUUCGUGGUGUAGCGGUGAAAUGCUUAGAUAUCACGAAGAACUCCGAUUGCGAAGGCAGCUCACUGGACUGCAACUGACGCUGAUGCUCGAAAGUGUGGGUAUCAAACAGGAUUAGAUACCCGUGUAGUC
This 460-nucleotide ribosomal RNA is filed under the name uncultured bacterium. Its description in RNAcentral is "partial 16S ribosomal RNA". It matches the Rfam family "Bacterial small subunit ribosomal RNA", at positions 338 to 795 of the family's 1533-position model. The record is from RNAcentral.